UUUCCGUAGGUGAACCUGCGGAAGGAUCAUUAUUGAAUAAACAGUGUGGGUUGUUGCUGGCCUUCUGGCAUGUGCACGCCUGCCAUAUGUUUCAUUCCCUUCUUUCCACCUGUGCACUAUGUGUAGGCGAUGUAUGCUGUAUUGUCAGGCCCUUCUUAAGGCUUGGUUUAGAGAGGAUGCUUGUCUUUAUGAGACAGGCUCAUCUUGGGCGUACAGGUCUAUGUUUUACACCAACACCAAAUGAAUGUCUUAGAAUGUAUUUUUUCAGGCUCUUGCUAGCCUUUAAACCAUAUACAACUUUCAACAACGGAUCUCUUGGCUCUC
RNAcentral lists this unclassified non-coding RNA (324 nucleotides) under plant metagenome. RNAcentral's name for it is "partial contains small subunit ribosomal RNA, internal transcribed spacer 1, and 5.8S ribosomal RNA". The record is from RNAcentral.